GUGGGGAAUUUUGGACAAUGGGCGCAAGCCUGAUCCAGCAAUGCCGCGUGCAGGAAGAAGGCCUUCGGGUUGUAAACUGCUUUUGUACGGAACGAAACGGUCCGGGUUAAUACCCUGGGCUAAUGACGGUACCGUAAGAAUAAGCACCGGCUAACUACGUGCCAGCAGCCGCGGUAAUACGUAGGGUGCAAGCGUUAAUCGGAAUUACUGGGCGUAAAGCGUGCGCAGGCGGUUUUGUAAGACAGGCGUGAAAUCCCCGGGCUCAACCUGGGAAUUGCGCUUGUGACUGCAAGGCUGGAGUGCGGCAGAGGGGGAUGGAAUUCCGCGUGUAGCGGUGAAAUGCGUAGAUAUGCGGAGGAACACCGAUGGCGAAGGCAAUCCCCUGGACCUGUACUGACGCUCAUGCACGAAAGCGUGGGGAGCAAACAGGAUUAGAUACCCGGGUAGUCC
This 450-nucleotide ribosomal RNA is filed under the name uncultured bacterium. RNAcentral describes it as "partial 16S ribosomal RNA". It matches the Rfam family "Bacterial small subunit ribosomal RNA", at positions 354 to 796 of the family's 1533-position model. The record is from RNAcentral.